This is a long non-coding RNA of Gallus gallus (chicken), 1383 nucleotides long. The record is from Ensembl. Lineage: Eukaryota; Metazoa; Chordata; Aves; Galliformes; Phasianidae.
CCCGCUAGUCACUUAUAACGGAGGAGGCAAAUGGCAGCCCGCAGCAGCAGCGGGCGCAUGGGGGAAGAUGGCCGCACGCCAGCACGGCCGCGUCCUGCCGCCCUUCCACAGGGACACGGGGGUGGGCUCGGGGCCGGGCCGGGGACUGCAGCGGGCAUCACCGGGAGGUUUGUUUGUGUUGUGUAACCAGGGCUCGGCACGCGCGUUGGGUAACGCCGCCGACAUUUCACCUACUUUCAAGCCACUGCUGCGACGAAUCCGUUUGGCCCCAAGUUGUUUUCGCCUCCAAGGAAAGGGGUGGAAAGGAGAGAAUCAAUACAGCUGCCAUCCCUUAUUGGGAGGAAUCUACAGAUCUCACCUUGAUUUACUGGGGAGAUCGAUAUCUCAACCUUCAUUAAAGUGGGUGCUAUGUUGGACUGGAUAAGGCUCACCUGCUGCGAGAGCAAAUUGUGUGCGGAUGCCUGUCCGCAUAUGUGGAGAUCAUUCAGCGUGGUCUUCGUGUACUCAAGGCUGGAUGCUGUACAGUUCGCCAGCUACCGCAGGGCUGCAUGCAGUUAGCUCAGCACCAGGCCUGGAAAGACAGGGGCAAGUUCCAUAUAUACGGAGUGGGGACACUGCCUGGCAGAUCCUCCUGACUCAAAACUCUAUCUGUGCUUUCCCUUUUGUCAGAGUGGCAGCUUCAGUACAAUCUGACUUUAUUAAAACACGUGCGAGCACGGGUUCAGUGUCGUACAUCUUCCUUUACAGGAGAUGGUCUCAAGAUAGUUCUUCAUUGAUGCAGCGGUAGUAUCAGUGAUGUUCUCCUUCAUUUUAAAAGCUGGACUCACUGUUCCUCAUCUUUUAUAGGGAGAUAAUAUGAACUGUAAAUUAAUUGUAGGAGUAGAGAAAUGGGUAUGAUGUAUUCCAGGUCCACAUUAUGGCAGUCUAAAUCAAUGUCUGGGAAGGAAGGGCUUCUCCACAAAUCCUCAGAGCACAGUGAAGAAAGGGUGUUGAGUAUAUGGCUAGGAAGGAAGGAGAUGGCAAGAGCAACUUCUACACAAAGACUGCUGCUGGCAUGAUUUUUCUUUGCAGCAUCACAGUCUCCGCAGAAAUAGCUGAUCUCACUGCAUUUUAGAGCUGCUAAUUCAGGCCUGAAGUUUGCUGUCUCUCUCCCCAGAAGCCAGUAAUCACCAUCUUUCCUACCAUCUUCCCUCAAAAGAUCUCAAAGCACAGCUGAAAAAAGUAAGACCUUUUCUCUCAUCACCUACUGAACAUCCACCUCCUCCCCAGGACUGUUUGGAGUGCUGUGGAGACCCCAGCAGGGAGCCUUUCGUAUUUAGGCUACUGAAUUGAUUGGAGCUCGGAUUAUCAGUGACCAGAAGUAAAUGCCAGUUGAUGCAGCCA